CACAUAUCGAAGUAUCGAACGCUCCCUUGUAGUCAUAUUUACAAAAAAACAUCUACAAAAAAUUUUAUUCUGGAAUUUUUUAAAUUUCCAAUAAAUUUUUCAUUGUUAUAAAUAUUUUUGAAAAAUCUAUCAUUUCUGUUCAUAGAUAUCUUAUAUUAGUUUAUCCAUUGUAUCAUUUUUUUGUCAUUCAAUAACUAAAAACGAAAAUAUCAUGGGCGUUGUUCACAAUUCAAAUGAAUUGACCUCCGAAAAAAAAAAUAUACGAUUACCACAACAAUUCAACUGAUUACUUCACAGUACAAUUUAUUAAACUCUAUAGUAUAUACUUGAUAAAAAAAAAAAAAAAAAUUAAAUUUGAUAACUUGCGGGUCAUCGUUAUUAUUUUUUAUCAUUAUUACCAAGGUUUUAAUACAAGCUCAGUGCUCUAUCAUUUUGAACAUUAAUAACUCUAAAAAACUUUCAGUCUUACAAAAAAAAUCAACACUUGUUCUACAGAUAAUAUAAAAAAAUAUUUCUAUUUUUUUUUUUUAGUUGCACAUAAUAUCUCAAAAUGCGUUUAGUAAUUUGCGAUAAAGUAGAUUACGUAUCUGAGUGGUCAGCUAAAUACGUGAUGAAAAAAAUUCUGGACUUCAAACCCAACGAAAAUAAAUUUUUCGUUCUUCUUCAACUUCCAACUGGAGGAACACCUCUCGGAAUGUACAAAAAACUAAUUGAGUAUUAUAACGCUGGAAAGGUAUCUUUCAAGUACGUCAAAACAUUCAACAUGGAUGAAUACGUAGAUCUUCCGAGGGAUCAUCCAGAAUCAUACCAUUACUACAUGUAUAAUAAUUUUUUUAAGCACAUUGACAUUGAUCCUCAGAAUGUUCAUAUCUUGGAUGGAAAUGCACCUGACCUCAACAAAGAAUGUGAAGAAUAUGAAAAAAAAAUCAGUGAAGCUGAUGGAAUUGAGCUAUUUGUUGGAGGAAUCGGUCCAGAUGGACAUAUUGCAUUUAAUGAGCCCGGUUCAUCACUUGCCUCUAGAACUCGUGUUAAAACCCUAGCUCAGGAUACACUUGAAGCAAACGCAAGAUUCUUCAACAAUGACAUCGAUAAAGUACCUAAACAGGCAUUGACCGUUGGUGUGGGUACUGUUAUGGAUGCCAAAGAAGUUAUGAUAUUGAUAACUGGAUCACACAAAGCAUUUGCUCUCUAUAAAGCUGUUGAAGAAGGCAUCAACCAUAUGUGGACUGUCUCUGCAUUUCAACAGCAUCCAAAAACUUUAUUUAUUUGUGAUGAAGAUGCAACACUCGAGUUACGUGUUAAAACUGUUAAAUAUUUCAAGUUAAUUACUUUUAAAUAUAUAUUAUCAGGCACUUAGUGAGGUGCACAUGAAACUCAUCGAAGAUGAUCACUCAAUAUCACGUCGUAGUGUAAUUGAAUAAUAAGACUGUUCAUCUCCAUCAAUCUCGAAAGAUUUUACAUGAAAUAAAUUUUAUCAACUUCAACUAUUUUACAAUUUUCAUCUUCUUCAUUAAAAACGACUUAUUUACAGGCUGACUUCAUCUUUUUAACA
Molecule: RNA transcript, 1552 nt
Organism: Aphidius gifuensis
Lineage: Eukaryota; Metazoa; Arthropoda; Insecta; Hymenoptera; Braconidae
Gene name: glucosamine-6-phosphate isomerase-like
Exons: 5
Source: RefSeq, a predicted model, not a curated record